GAAGUAUUGGGUGGAAACCGUGGUAGAAACUUAAAACUUGGAAACUAAUGUUGGAUCGAAAAAUGGACGUCCGAGAUUCGUCCACGUCAUCAUUAGUAAAAAAAUUUACUACUUAUGAAUAAAUCUAUGAGUAAAAUUUUUACUCGUGAUGACGUGGUCGAAUCUCGAACGUCUAUUUUUCGAUCCAAUAGUAGUUUCUAACUUUCCACCAUAUAUAUGGUUUCCACUGUAUAUUUUUCC
RNAcentral lists this unclassified non-coding RNA (240 nucleotides) under Oryza sativa (Asian cultivated rice). The record is from RNAcentral. Lineage: Eukaryota; Viridiplantae; Streptophyta; Magnoliopsida; Poales; Poaceae.